This 92-nucleotide transfer RNA is filed under the name Bacteroidales bacterium WCE2008. RNAcentral describes it as "tRNA_Ser_GCT". It matches the Rfam family "tRNA". Rfam says of the family: Transfer RNA (tRNA) molecules are approximately 80 nucleotides in length. Lineage: Bacteria; Pseudomonadati; Bacteroidota; Bacteroidia; Bacteroidales. The record is from RNAcentral.
GGAGAGGUGGGUGAGUGGCUGAAACCACCGGUUUGCUAAACCGACGUACGGGUCAUUCCGUACCACGAGUUCGAAUCUCGUCCUCUCCGCAA